AGUGGCAGACGGGUGAGUAACGCGUGGGAAUGCGACUUUGGUACGGAAUAACUUCGGGAAACCGAAGCUAAUACGAAUAAGUCCUUCGGGAGAAAGAUUUAUCGCCAAAGGAUGGGCCCGCGUUGGAUUAGCUAGUUGGUAGGGUAAAGGCCUACCAAGGCUACGAUCCAUAGCUGGUCUGAAAGGAUGAUCAGCCACACUGGGACUGAGACACGGCCCAGACUCCUACGGGAGGCAGCAGUGGGGAAUAUUGGACAAUGGGGGCAACCCUGAUCCAGCCAUGCCGCGUGAGUGAAGAAGGCCUUAGGGUUGUAAAGCUCUUUUGGCGGGGACGAUAAUGACGGUGCCCGCAGAAUAAGCCCCGGCUAACUUCGUGCCAGCAGCCGCGGUAAUACGAAGGGGGCUAGCGUUGUUCGGAAUCACUGGGCGUAAAGCGCACGCAGGCGGAUUGAUAAGUCAGGGGUGAAAUCCCGGAGCUCAACUUCGGAAUUGCCUUUGA
Molecule: ribosomal RNA, 499 nt
Filed under: uncultured bacterium
Lineage: Bacteria
Description: bacterial SSU rRNA
Rfam family: Bacterial small subunit ribosomal RNA
Source: RNAcentral